Salvia miltiorrhiza (redroot sage) is the source of this 487-nucleotide long non-coding RNA. RefSeq lists it as uncharacterized. The record is from RefSeq and is a predicted model, not a curated record. Lineage: Eukaryota; Viridiplantae; Streptophyta; Magnoliopsida; Lamiales; Lamiaceae. The transcript has 2 exons.
UCCCAAGUGGCUCGUGAUGUUUUGGCAGUACCUGUCUCAACUGUAGCAUCAGAGGCAGCAUUUAGCACUGGAGGACGAGUACUUGAUCCUUUUAGGAGUUCGUUAAGUCCUAAAGUUGUGGAGGUUCUCAUUUGUGGUCAAGAUUGGCUUCGCAAUUCUUCUACCGCAGUUGAUGUUGAGGAACUUUAUGAAGAUGUCCAAAAAAUUGAACAAGGUAUGCAAAAUUUGGUAGUGCAAGCUCCAACAAAUUAAUCAAUCUCCAUUAUUUGUUGGGACUUGAAAGCUAUUGAAGAUGAUUCGACGAAUGUUUAUUGAUUUUGAGUUUUGUGGUUUUGUGAACAUUGAAAUUAUGGACUCUUUCCUUGAUCAUUUGUUGCUAAUUUGUUGUUGAUUUGAUGGAUAUUUAGAAACUCUUUAGUUUGUUGGCUAUCGAUGUUCUAGUAUUUAAUUUGGUGAGUGUGAUGAAUGGAUUCAAUACUUAUGCAAA